CACUGCCGAGAAAAGCCUCUAGAUAGAAAAUAGGUGCCCGUACCGCAAACCGACACAGGUAGUCAAGAUGAGAAUUCUAAGGUGAGCGAGCGAACUCUCGUUAAGGAACUCGGCAAAAUGACCCCGUAACUUCGGGAGAAGGGGUGCUCUUUAGGGUUAACGCCCAGAAGAGCCGCAGUGAAUAGGCCCAAGCGACUGUUUAUCAAAAACACAGGUCUCUGCUAAACCGUAAGGUGAUGUAUAGGGGCUGACGCCUGCCCGGUGCUGGAAGGUUAAGAGGAGUGGUUAGCUUCUGCGAAGCUACGAAUCGAAGCCCCAGUAAACGGCGGCCGUAACUAUAACGGUCCUAAGGUAGCGAAAUUCCUUGUCGGGUAAGUUCCGACCCGCACGAAAGGCGUAACGAUUUGGGCACUGUCUCAACGAGAGACUCGGUGAAAUCAUAGUACCUGUGAAGAUGCAGGUUACCCGCGACAGGACGGAAAGACCCCGUGGAGCUUUACUGUA
RNAcentral lists this ribosomal RNA (504 nucleotides) under Staphylococcus aureus. Its description in RNAcentral is "partial 23S ribosomal RNA". It matches the Rfam family "Bacterial large subunit ribosomal RNA", at positions 1603 to 2108 of the family's 2925-position model. Lineage: Bacteria; Bacillati; Bacillota; Bacilli; Caryophanales; Staphylococcaceae. The record is from RNAcentral.